GUUAAAAACCGUUAAAAAAAAUUGGGACUAACGACACAAAUUUUAUGUCAACUAAGUUGAUUUCACUUGCUCCCUUCAUCCCCAGGGAAUUUCAAAGGAAACCGCGAUCGCUAAAUGAAAUUUGUUGAUGGAGAGUUCCGGCAAUUUGCACUUUAUUCGGGCUUAGUCGUUUUAAAAGGAUGAUGAAAAAAGGCGGUUUGAAGCGAAAUUUGUCGAGCCUCCUGGGGCCCGAGAUAAUAAAAUCUUUUAAUUAUGAUGGCAUGCAGGGGAAAAAGGCUUUCCGUAACUUAGCUGAGCUUAACAAUAUAUUUUUUAACGCUGCCGAAGACGUGACAAUGCGGGAGCAAUAUCGAUCCGAAAGGAAAAGCGGAUUUAAAUUAAGCAAAAGUCGACAAUAUAAAGCAACUCAUUUGCUUAAGAAGCAAAGUAUUUAA
Molecule: long non-coding RNA, 434 nt
Organism: Rhagoletis pomonella (apple maggot)
Lineage: Eukaryota; Metazoa; Arthropoda; Insecta; Diptera; Tephritidae
Exons: 3
Source: RefSeq, a predicted model, not a curated record